GACAGAGGAUGCAAGCGUUAUCCGGAAUGAUUGGGCGUAAAGCGUCUGUAGGUGGCUUUUUAAGUUCGCCGUCAAAUCCCAGGGCUCAACCCUGGACAGGUGGUGGAAACUACCAAGCUAGAGUACGGUAGGGGCAGAGGGAAUUUCCGGUGGAGCGAUGAAAUGCGUAGAGAUCGGAAGGAACACCCAAGGCGAAAGCACUCUGCUGGGCCGACACUGACGCUCAUGCACGAAAGCGUGGGGAGCAAACAGG
This 253-nucleotide ribosomal RNA is filed under the name uncultured bacterium. RNAcentral describes it as "partial 16S ribosomal RNA". It matches the Rfam family "Bacterial small subunit ribosomal RNA", at positions 524 to 776 of the family's 1533-position model. The record is from RNAcentral.